CUGACGGACAGCCUCCGAACCCGGGCGGGACAGGAUCCCGACGUCGGGAUCCGCAGAGGUGCGCUUAGGUUUGGCGAGGGCUGAGGUCACUGAGAGACCUCUUGGAGGAACGAGUACGCACGCUGGCGAAGCUGAGGAGAAUUUACCGUGGUGGUACGAGGGAUAUUUUGAAUGAACGGGAGCUGCCUGUCCCAGCAGCCAGCUGUGAGCCAAGAAGCCCCAGAGCCAUGAGAGGGAAAUACAGUUAUCAUUGCCAUUUCCGGUCACCUAUUCUUUACAGAUGCACUCUGCCUCUUGACCUACAUAAAAAAGAAAAUAGUCACUCUUCCCUUUUGUCUCUCAUCCAGAAAGCUAGGCUUUCUGCUUUUCCCUAACCCAUCAGGCCACUAUUGAUCCUGAGGCUUAGUGUCCAUUGUCACAGAUCAUCAUAAUGAAGCCUGCCUCACUUGUUUAGUUAAUUCCUCAGCCUCUGAUUAUUUGAAUUUGUAAGUCCUGUUUAAAUCCUCAACAAGCAAAAGAUUCAAGUCACACCCACUGAUGAUGAUUGCCAAACAAACAAAAAAAAUCACAGUUGUUGAUAAGGAUAUGGAGAAACUAGAACUU
Molecule: long non-coding RNA, 603 nt
Organism: Heterocephalus glaber (naked mole-rat)
Lineage: Eukaryota; Metazoa; Chordata; Mammalia; Rodentia; Bathyergidae
Source: Ensembl